Molecule: non-coding RNA, 561 nt
Organism: Oncorhynchus mykiss (rainbow trout)
Lineage: Eukaryota; Metazoa; Chordata; Actinopteri; Salmoniformes; Salmonidae
Source: RefSeq, a predicted model, not a curated record
AAAUGUAGUUCUUUAUGCAGCCUGUUGUCAACAGCUGACGUGCUCAAGUAUGCUGUAUCUGUAGUUGGAACUGAGUUUGAGCUACGUUCACAAUAAUACUAAACAAUAUUUGUAUCAAUUGCAUUUAUUUAAUGAUACAUGUUUUAUCAAUGAACAUCUCGAAUCUUGCUCUCUGACAACAGAUAUGAUCAAAUGAGAAACAAACAAGUGCCAGCAGUCCUGCCAAUGCCAGAAGGUGGGGAACAUCAGAGCUCUCCUGUCCCUGGAGUGGUCAAGUCCCAGAGCGUGGCCAAACUCAUGGGCCGCCACCAACUGCAGAUUCACUUCUGAGGACAACAUUACACAAAGAUACCACUGGGAUUUAAGUGAACUGGCCUUGAAGAUGGUUGCUUGAUGAUGUAAUUGAACUUCUUGCAACACUGUCAUCAACAUUCAACUGGCUACCUUGUAACUCAAAUGCAGCAUCAACCCUCCUCCCAAUACCUGGCCAGUCUGAUGAACGUCUGCGUUCAUCGUAUCUAUACAUUGUAUAAAAAAUAAACAUUGAACUUAUAAAUGAUG